AUGCNACNUUGUACCGCNUUAUUGGGUCGUAAAGCGCGCNCAGGCGGUCUUUUAAGUCUGAUGUGAAAGCCCCCGGCUUAACCGGGGUAGGGCAUUGGAAACUGGAAGACUGGAGUGCAGAAUAGGAGAGUGGAAUUCCACGUGUAGCGGUGAAAUGCGUACAUAUGUGGAGGAACACCAGUGGCGAAGGCGACUCUCUGGUCUGUAACUGACNCUGAGGCGCGAAAGCGUGGGGAGCAAACAGGAUUAGAUACCCUGGUAGUCCACGCCGUANACGAUGAGUGCUAAGUGUUAGGGGGUUUCCGCCCCUUAAUGCUGCAGCUAACGCAUUANNCACUCCGCCUGGGGAGU
Molecule: ribosomal RNA, 351 nt
Filed under: uncultured bacterium
Lineage: Bacteria
Description: partial 16S ribosomal RNA
Rfam family: Bacterial small subunit ribosomal RNA
Source: RNAcentral